This 510-nucleotide ribosomal RNA is filed under the name uncultured bacterium. RNAcentral's name for it is "partial 16S ribosomal RNA". It matches the Rfam family "Bacterial small subunit ribosomal RNA", at positions 28 to 507 of the family's 1533-position model. The record is from RNAcentral.
GACGAACGCUGGCGGCGUGCUUAACACAUGCAAGUCGAACGAAGAGCGAUGGAAGCUUGCUUCUAUCAAUCUUAGUGGCGAACGGGUGAGUAACGCGUAAUCAACCUGCCCUUCAGAGGGGGACAGCAGUUGGAAACGACUGCUAAUACCGCAUACGAUCUAAUCUCGGCAUCGAGGAAAGAUGAAAGGUGGCCUCUAUUUAUAAGCUAUCACUGAAGGAGGGGAUUGCGUCUGAUUAGCUAGUUGGAGGGGUAACGGCCCACCAAGGCGAUGAUCAGUAGCCGGUCUGAGAGGAUGAACGGCCACAUUGGGACUGAGACACGGCCCAGACUCCUACGGGAGGCAGCAGUGGGGAAUCUUCCGCAAUGGACGAAAGUCUGACGGAGCAACGCCGCGUGAGUGAUGACGGCCUUCGGGUUGUAAAGCUCUGUUAAUCGGGACGAAAGGCCUUCUUGCGAACAGUUAGAAGGAUUGACGGUACCGGAAUAGAAAGCCACGGCUAACUACGUG